Molecule: ribosomal RNA, 449 nt
Filed under: uncultured bacterium
Lineage: Bacteria
Description: partial 16S ribosomal RNA
Rfam family: Bacterial small subunit ribosomal RNA
Source: RNAcentral
AACGAACGCUGGCGGCAGGCUUAACACAUGCAAGUCGAACGCAUCCUUCGGGGUGAGUGGCAGACGGGUGAGUAACGCGUGGGAACGUGCCCUUCAGUUCGGGAUAACCCAGGGAAACUUGGGCUAAUACCGGAUACGUGCGAGAGCAGAAAGAUUUAUCGCUGAAGGAUCGGCCCGCGUCUGAUUAGCUGGUUGGUGGGGUAAUGGCCCACCAAGGCGACGAUCAGUAGCUGGUCUGAGAGGAUGAUCAGCCGCAUUGGGACUGAGACACGGCCCAAACUCCUACGGGAGGCAGCAGUGGGGAAUAUUGGACAAUGGGCGCAAGCCUGAUCCAGCCAUGCCGCGUGAGUGAUGAAGGCCUUAGGGUUGUAAAGCUCUUUCGUCCGGGACGAUAAUGACGGUACCGGAAGAAGAAGCCCCGGCUAACUUCGUGCCAGCCGCCGCUGUAA